RNAcentral lists this non-coding RNA (171 nucleotides) under Kiritimatiellia bacterium. RNAcentral describes it as "Kiritimatiellae bacterium (aquatic metagenome) 6S RNA". It matches the Rfam family "6S / SsrS RNA". Rfam says of the family: E. coli 6S RNA was the first non coding RNA to be sequenced, but its function was unknown until recently. Lineage: Bacteria; Pseudomonadati; Kiritimatiellota; Kiritimatiellia. The record is from RNAcentral.
AAUACCCUGCCUUGUUCGCUAACAGGCAAAAAUCUCUAACCUUCCAUUAUGUAAGGGAGCCGGAAUUCGGCGUGGAGCGGAUCCGCAAGGAACCCAGAAACGCAGACUAUGGCACCCACCUCGGAGACGAGGUUCAGAGAUUGACGCCGCUACGACUCGGGUGGGGUAUUU